Molecule: ribosomal RNA, 492 nt
Filed under: uncultured bacterium
Lineage: Bacteria
Description: partial 16S ribosomal RNA
Rfam family: Bacterial small subunit ribosomal RNA
Source: RNAcentral
AGUGAACGCUGGCGGUAGGCCUAACACAUGCAAGUCGAACGGCAGCACAGUAAGAGCUUGCUCUUACGGGUGGCGAGUGGCGGACGGGUGAGGAAUACAUCGGAAUCUACUUUUUCGUGGGGGAUAACGUAGGGAAACUUACGCUAAUACCGCAUACGACCUACGGGUGAAAGCAGGGGAUCUUCGGACCUUGCGUGAUUGAAUGAGCCGAUGUCGGAUUAGCUAGUUGGCGGGGUAAAGGCCCACCAAGGCGACGAUCCGUAGCUGGUCUGAGAGGAUGAUCAGCCACACUGGAACUGAGACACGGUCCAGACUCCUACGGGAGGCAGCAGUGGGGAAUAUUGGACAAUGGGCGCAAGCCUGAUCCAGCCAGACCGCGUGGGUGAAGAAGGCCUUCGGGUUGUAAAGCCCUUUUGUUGGGAAAGAAAAGCAGCAGGUUAAUACCCCGCUGUUCUGACGGUACCCAAAGAAUAAGCACCGGCUAACUUCGUG